UACGGAGGGUGCGAGCUGUUGUCCGGAAAUCACUGGGCGUAAAGGGCGCGUAGGCGGCCCGGCAAGUCACGUGGUGAAAGGCCCCGAGGCUCAACUUCGGGUCGGCCACUGAUAACUGCUAGGCUUGAGUCGACUAGAGGCAGAUGGAAUUCCGGGUGUAGCGGUGGGAAUGCGUAGAGAUCCGGAAGAACACCGGUGGCGAAGGCGGUCUGCUGGGGUCGAACUGACGCUGAAGGCGC
This 239-nucleotide ribosomal RNA is filed under the name uncultured bacterium. RNAcentral describes it as "partial 16S ribosomal RNA". It matches the Rfam family "Bacterial small subunit ribosomal RNA", at positions 524 to 754 of the family's 1533-position model. The record is from RNAcentral.